GAUGAAGAACUUAGCGAAAUGCGAUAAGUAAUGUGAAUUGCAGAAUUCAGUGAAUCAUCGAAUCUUUGAACGCACCUUGCGCUCCUUGGUAUUCCGAGGAGCAUGCCUGUUUGAGUGUCAUUAAUAUAUCAACCUUCUCUUUUUUGAGUUGUUUGGAUGUGGGGGUUUGCUGGCCUCUUAAAUGAUUCAGCUCCCCUGAAAUGCAUUAGCAGAACAACCUGUUCAUUAGCGUGAUAAUUAUCUAUGCUAUUGAAUGUGAGGGCAGUUCAGCUUUCUAACCGUCCUUGGACAAUUCAUCAUUAAUGUGACCUCAAAUCAGGUAGGACUACCCGCUGAACUUAAGCAUAUCAAUAAGCGGAGGA
Molecule: unclassified non-coding RNA, 362 nt
Filed under: soil metagenome
Description: partial contains 5.8S ribosomal RNA, internal transcribed spacer 2, and large subunit ribosomal RNA
Rfam family: 5.8S ribosomal RNA (bases 1-120)
Source: RNAcentral